RNAcentral lists this ribosomal RNA (845 nucleotides) under Penicillium christenseniae. Its description in RNAcentral is "LSU rRNA". It matches the Rfam family "Eukaryotic large subunit ribosomal RNA", at positions 68 to 931 of the family's 3401-position model. The record is from RNAcentral. Lineage: Eukaryota; Fungi; Ascomycota; Eurotiomycetes; Eurotiales; Aspergillaceae.
ACCGGGAUUGCCCUAGUAACGGCGAGUGAAGCGGCAAGAGCUCAAAUUUGAAAGCUGGCUCCUUCGGGGUCCGCAUUGUAAUUUGCAGAGGAUGCUUCGGGAGCGGUCCCCAUCUAAGUGCCCUGGAACGGGCCGUCAUAGAGGGUGAGAAUCCCGUAUGGGAUGGGGUGCCCGCGCCCGUGUGAAGCUCCUUCGACGAGUCGAGUUGUUUGGGAAUGCAGCUCUAAUUGGGUGGUAAAUUUCAUCUAAAGCUAAAUAUUGGCCGGAGACCGAUAGCGCACAAGUAGAGUGAUCGAAAGAUGAAAAGCACUUUGAAAAGAGAGUUAAACAGCACGUGAAAUUGUUGAAAGGGAAGCGCUUGCGAUCAGACUCGCUCGCGGGGUUCAGCCGGCCUUCGGGCCGGUGUACUUCCCCGCGGGCGGGCCAGCGUCGGUUUGGGCGGCCGGUCAAAGGCCCCUGGAAUGUAACGCCUCUCGGGGCGUCUUAUAGCCAGGGGUGCCAUGCGGCCUGCCCGGACCGAGGAACGCGCUUCGGCUCGGACGCUGGCAUAAUGGUCGUAAGCGACCCGUCUUGAAACACGGACCAAGGAGUCUAACAUCUACGCGAGUGUUCGGGUGUCAAACCCGUGCGCGCAGUGAAAGCGAACGGAGGUGGGAACCCCCCGGGGUGCACCAUCGACCGAUCCUGAUGUCUUCGGAUGGAUUUGAGUAAGAGCGUAGCUGUUGGGACCCGAAAGAUGGUGAACUAUGCCUGAAUAGGGCGAAGCCAGAGGAAACUCUGGUGGAGGCUCGCAGCGGUUCUGACGUGCAAAUCGAUCGUCAAAUUUGGGUAUAGGGGCGAAAGAC